AACGAACGCUGACGGCGUGCUUAACACAUGCAAGUCGCACGAGAACGUUCACCUUCGGGUGAAUCAGUAAAGUGGCGCACGGGUGAGUAACGCGUGGAUAAUCUGCCUUCAAGACGGGAAUAACAUUGCGAAAGCGAUGCUAAUACCGGAUAAGCUCACGAUUUGAUUGGUUGUGGGAAAAGAUGGCCUAGUCUAUGCUAUCGCUUGAAGAUGAGUCCGCGUACCAUUAGCUUGUUGGUAGGGUAAUGGCCUACCAAGGCAACGAUGGUUAGCUGGCCUGAGAGGGCGGCCAGCCACACUGGGACUGAGACACGGCCCAGACUCCUACGGGAGGCAGCAGUGGGGAAUAUUGCGCAAUGGGGGAAACCCUGACGCAGCGACGCCGUGUGAGUGAUGAAGGUUUUCGGAUCGUAAAGCUCUGUCAGGUGGGAAGAAUAAGGUCUGUGAAAAUAUUGCAGUCCGAUGACGGUACCACCAGAGGAAGCACCGGCUAACUCCGUGCCAGCAGCCGCGGUAAUACGGAGGGUGCAAGCGUUGUUCGGAAUUAUUGGGCGUAAAGGGCGUGCAGGCGGGUAUGCAGGUCAGGUGUGAAAUCCCUCGGCUCAACCGAGGAAGUGCAUCUGACACCGUGUAUCUUGAGUACGAGAGAGGCAGAUGGAAUUCCCAGU
RNAcentral lists this ribosomal RNA (668 nucleotides) under uncultured bacterium. RNAcentral's name for it is "bacterial SSU rRNA". It matches the Rfam family "Bacterial small subunit ribosomal RNA", at positions 28 to 674 of the family's 1533-position model. The record is from RNAcentral.